ACUGUAUCCCAUUACACAGACCUCCAGAACUCAUGAAGGUGCCUACCAUAUAGAUGUUCACAUAAGGGCCAUGUGGAUUCCUAUACUGUCUGAGAAACAUAAUAAAACUUCCAUUAGAGGAGAAAACCUUCUCUGGAAACAUGGACAAAAUGAAAUUAAAAUGCUGUUCCAGAUUCCUAGGUCUGAGCACAAGAGAACCGCACGUUGCAAGGCUCAGAAGAAAGUGUGCUUUGAAUCUUGGGAAAUGAUUGCCAGCCAGAGGAGACAAGGAGAACCAAUGGUCUGAAGAUGCAUAAGGUAGCUUUGUAUGCCUUUUACUCAGGAAUGUUGACCUACAUGAAUGCCUAUAGCAUCACUGCAAACAUACAGAAAAAAAAGAUGGACAAAGAUGUAGCAUAUGCUAGAAAAUAGGACUGUGCACAAGUCUACCAAUUAGGUUUGCAGGCCACUUCUGGACUU
RNAcentral lists this long non-coding RNA (459 nucleotides) under Pogona vitticeps (central bearded dragon). RNAcentral's name for it is "lncRNA (ENSPVIG00000025625.1)". The record is from RNAcentral. Lineage: Eukaryota; Metazoa; Chordata; Lepidosauria; Squamata; Agamidae.